GUUCGUAGGCGGUUUGUCGCGUCGUUUGUGAAAACCCGGGGCUCAACUUCGGGCUUGCAGGCGAUACGGGCAGACUUGAGUGUUUCAGGGGAGACUGGAAUUCCUGGUGUAGCGGUGAAAUGCGCAGAUAUCAGGAGGAACACCGGUGGCGAAGGCGGGUCUCUGGGAAACAACUGACGCUGAGGAACGAAAGCGUGGGUAGCAAACAGGAUUAGAUACCCUGGUAGUCCACGCCGUAAACGGUGG
This 246-nucleotide ribosomal RNA is filed under the name Rhodococcus sp. SP061. Its description in RNAcentral is "partial 16S ribosomal RNA". It matches the Rfam family "Bacterial small subunit ribosomal RNA", at positions 567 to 812 of the family's 1533-position model. The record is from RNAcentral. Lineage: Bacteria; Bacillati; Actinomycetota; Actinomycetes; Mycobacteriales; Nocardiaceae.